RNAcentral lists this ribosomal RNA (498 nucleotides) under uncultured bacterium. RNAcentral describes it as "partial 16S ribosomal RNA". It matches the Rfam family "Bacterial small subunit ribosomal RNA", at positions 29 to 507 of the family's 1533-position model. The record is from RNAcentral.
AGCGAACGCUGGCGGCGUGCCUAACACAUGCAAGCCGAACGUGAAAAGGGAAGCCUGAGUAAAGUGGCGUACGGGUGAGUAACGCGUAGGUAAUCUACCCCAGAAUCUGGAAUAACCUGCCGAAAGGCGGGCUAAUACUGGAUAGAGCGAGGGAACUCGUAAGAGAGUUUUUCGGGAAAGGGAGCCCGCAAGGGCCUUCGUUCUGGGAUGAGCCUGCGUCUCAUUAGCUAGUUGGUAAGGUAACGGCUUACCAAGGCGAUGAUGAGUAGCUGGUCUGAGAGGAUGAUCAGCCACACUGGAACUGAAACACGGUCCAGACUCCUACGGGAGGCAGCAGUGGGGAAUCUUGCGCAAUGGACGAAAGUCUGACGCAGCCACGCCGCGUGAGUGAAGAAGGCCUUCGGGUUGUAAAGCUCUGUCGGAUGGGACGAACAUCUUCAUAGUGAAUAGCUAUGAGGACUGACGGUACCAUCAAAGGAAGCACCGGCUAACUCCGUG